CCUACGGGCGGCAGCAGUGAGGAAUAUUGGUCAAUGGGCGCGAGCCUGAACCAGCCAAGUCGCGUGAGGGAAGACGGUCCUAUGGAUUGUAAACCUCUGUCAGCGGGGAAGAACGGUCACUGUGCUAAUCAGCAUUAAAUUACCGUUCCCUGCAAAGGAAGCCCCGGCUAACUCCGUGCCAGCAGCAGCGGUAAUACGGAGGGGGCGAGCGUUAAUCGGAAUUACUGGGCGUAAAGCGCUCGUAGGCGGUAUGUCAAGUCAAGGGUGAAAUCCCCGCGCUCAACGUGGGAACUGCCUUUGAAACUGGCAAACUGGAGUGUGUGAGAGGAUAGUGGAAUUCCAGGUGUAGGAGUGAAAUCCGUAGAUAUCUGGAGGAACAUCAGUGGCGAAGGCGACUAUCUGGCACAUAACUGACGCUGAGGAGCGAAAGCGUGGGUAGCAAACAGGAUUAGAUACCCGAGUAGUC
RNAcentral lists this ribosomal RNA (466 nucleotides) under uncultured bacterium. Its description in RNAcentral is "partial 16S ribosomal RNA". It matches the Rfam family "Bacterial small subunit ribosomal RNA", at positions 338 to 795 of the family's 1533-position model. The record is from RNAcentral.